RNAcentral lists this ribosomal RNA (401 nucleotides) under uncultured bacterium. Its description in RNAcentral is "bacterial SSU rRNA". It matches the Rfam family "Bacterial small subunit ribosomal RNA", at positions 356 to 773 of the family's 1533-position model. The record is from RNAcentral.
GGGGAAUCUUGCGCAAUGGGCGAAAGCCUGACGCAGCAACGCCGCGUGGGGGACGAAGGCUCUCGGGUUGUAAACCCCUUUCAGCAGGAACGAAAUUGACGGUACCUGCAGAAGAAGCCCCGGCCAACUACGUGCCAGCAGCCGCGGUAAUACGUAGGGGGCGAGCGUUGUCCGGAUUUAUUGGGCGUAAAGAGCUCGUAGGCGGUUUGGUAAGUCGGGUGUGAAAACCCCAGGCUCAACCUGGGGACGCCACCUGAUACUGCUAUGACUUGAGUCUGGUAGGGGACCACGGAAUUCCUGGUGUAGCGGUGAAAUGCGCAGAUAUCAGGAGGAACACCGGUGGCGAAGGCGGUGGUCUGGGCCAGUACUGACGCUGAGGAGCGAAAGCGUGGGUAGCAAAC